Molecule: long non-coding RNA, 4737 nt
Filed under: Sus scrofa (pig)
Lineage: Eukaryota; Metazoa; Chordata; Mammalia; Artiodactyla; Suidae
Description: lncRNA (ENSSSCG00040020466.1)
Source: RNAcentral
ACGCAGGGGCACAUGUGUGUCUUUUCUUUCUGUCCUGAGGCCAUCUGUACAGUGAUGUAGUUUUCUUUUUUUCCAUCUUGUUUCCUUUACUUCGUAAAUCUACGUACUGAAUAUACUGUACCCCUCCUGGAAAAACAGCACAGUAGAAAACUUCAGUGGUUUAUAAACAAACAAAAAAAAUUUUUUUUUGGCUGCACCUGCGGCACGUGGAAGUUCCCUGGGCCAGGGAUCGAACCCAUGCCGGAGCAGUGACCAGAGCUGCUGCAGUAACAGCAUCAGAUCCUGAACCUGCUAUGCCACAGGAGAACUCUAAUAUAAUCAAAAAUUUGAAACCUACUGUCAAAGUGCAAGAAAUUACAGUGGAGGCUGGGGGAUUUGUUUUGUUUUUGUUGCUGUUGAUGCUGUUUUGGUUUUGAGCAGAAUGUAUCCUCUCGUUCAUGGGGUUUUAAGGGAAAAGACAAUUUCUCAUUCUCUGCAGUACAUUUCCUGCUGCCAUCACUCUCCUUCUGCUCUGAGAUGUUUAUUUCACCACCAUUCAUCUUUCUUGAUUGGUUUUGCUUUUCUUCUUCUAAGAGGUUGCUAAAUUUGCUUGUAAAGUUUUGUUUAUUCAUUGGCGCUCAGUUGAAAGGUGCUGGAUCAUUAAUCUAACUAUUCAAGGUUAACCAUGCUUUAUGCUGAAAUUGCCUUUUAUGGAACAGAUUUCAAGGUCUUGCCAGAGUUGAGUGCUACCUCAUUUUUGACAUUUUCAGCAACGAAUCCGGUUCAAAAUGUGAUUUGAAUCCAAUCAUCAUCUUAUUUGUGGAGAAAGAUAAAUAUAAUAUACAAAUAUUGCAGUAAAAUUGCAUUCCUCCCACCCGCCCCUCUCAGACAUUCCUGAUUGAGGUAGCUUUUGCCAGGGUGGCACUGAGAAAUGUCACUCGUACUGUGGUUCUGUCUUGCCUUGUUCUCUCUGUGUGUAUUUCCCUCCCAGGAGGCUUAUGCCUGUUUUCUUUACAUCUUACAUAAGUUGUUCGGGGCUCCUCAAGAAGGUAUGUUGAAGGGAGUUCCCUUCAUGGCUCAGCGGUUAACAAACCUGACGAGGAUCCUUGAGGAUGCAGGUUCAAUUCCUGGCCUUGCUCAGUGGGUUAAGGAUCCACUGUUGCCACAAGCGGUGAUGUAGGUUGCUCAGAUCCCACAUUUCUGUGGCUGUAGGCCAGUGGCUGUAGCUCUGAUUCGAUCCCUAGCGUGGGAACUUCCAUUUGCUGCAAGUGCAGCCCUAAAAAGCAAAAAAAAAAGGGGGGGGCGGUUAUGUUGCAGAAGAAAUGAAGCUCACACAAUGACUCCCGUGCCUUGGUGAAUCUCAAAGGACUCCAGAGGUUACCUAAUUCAUCUGGUUGGGCCAUCAAAGAUUUCUUUCCUUGAAGGAACGAAAGGAAAAUUUAAUAAUCUUCCAGGCCUCUUUGGAAGCGUAUGAACAAGUUUCUAAGUACCUCCGUGACGUAGUGUUUGGAUGUGGCAUUUUAAUUAAAGAUCCAGGCAGCCAGCUUUGUUGUUUUGAGGCUCUGUGGUAGCCUACAGUUCCUACCUAACCCUGCGGAGGUCUCGUGCAGCCCCUGUCCUGGGGACACAGUUCUCAAUUUUAUCUGGCGGGCGGGUUCUCAUGAUCAUAUGAUCAUAGGUCAAACUUCCGGCAGCUUCAUUUGGGCAGGACACUUUGGCCCAUCACCCCAGUACCCAUAGGGGUCAUUCUUCUUCUGCAGAGCUUUCCUUAACCUUUGAGACUCUUUCCUCCUGUCACUUCUCAUCUCCUUCUUAUUGUGUAUUUACUUAUCAUUCGUGAGUCCAAGCCCUUCUGCAACCACUCGACAAGAUAAUUACUGAAGCUCUACUUCGUCCCGAUGAUGUAGAUGCAGCGAAGUGAUUCCUGCCCUCGUGCAGCUGAUGACCUAGUGGGAGGGACAGAAAACCAACUGCAGAUAAAUGGACACACAAAUAGGGCAGUCACAAGAUGUGGAAUGUAUGUGAAGGAAACCAAGGCAUCACAGAGGGAGGCACAAGAAGUUUUUCAGCUUUUUUUUUUUUUUUUUUUAAUUUCUCUAGUCCCUGAAAUAGUGUCUGACACAUAGUUUGUACUCAGUAAUUAUUGGUUACAUAAAUGUUUGUGGGAGAUGGGCUUUUUGGGGUAGGGAAGCCCACAAAGUUCUCUGAGGAUCUGUUUGAAUAGAAAACAAAAGAGCUAUUCAUGAGAAGACAGAGGGGAGCAAGGGUGUUGAUGGUGAGAAAGGCCAAGAGCUGGGAGGAGCUUGGAUUGUUUGAGAAUGUGCAGAUUAAAGAAGCGGUAGGGGUGAAGGGUGCAGAGAAAGGGGUUAGGGUGAUGGAAGAUGCCCAGAGGUGAGGCUCCAGAAGUACCCAGAGACCAUAUAAUGGGACUCACAGCAAGGUUUGGGAAAGACACUUAGCCUUUAUCCAAAUGGCUAAGGGAAGCAAUGGAAGGCUUGGUACAGCCAAGCUUUAUUGGUGGCCCCCCUAAAGCUCAGCCUUUCAGGACUAGUGGCCCUGAAGAAUGAACACUACUUGGUGUUGAGAGUAAGGUGUUUUUUUUUACAAGGAUGACCAUGGCUUCCAGCCUUGAUCACAUCACCCACCUCCACGAGCACCCACAUCCACCCACAUUCUUUAGGUAAGAGAAGCUACGAGGCACACCUUCCCUGUGCCACUGUGGGACCCUUCCCCAGAGUACCACUGACUUGCCUGUGGUUGUUCUCAUUGGUGUGUGGUUGUCAUCAUGCAACUUGACUUGCAUGAACGAGUCUUGCUCUUAGGGAAGACCCAUCUUAGAAAUAAGAGGGAUUUGACCAGAAAAAACCUUUUCAAGAGAGAGGUCUAAAGCAGCAAGACAUUAACACCAACUUAAACUCAAGAGCUUCAGGAUGAUAAAUCUGCUUAUGGGUUCAUAAAGCAAUCACCAGCUCAAGGUUAUGGGAAACAGAGAGAAGAUCAAGCCUCUCUCAGCUGCAUUAGGCUACCUGAUUACUGUAUUAUUAACCUCUCUGCACUUGGGAUUCGAAACCCCCUCAAAGUAAGGUGUGUUGGUUGCUCAAGUGUAGAGUGGGCAUUUGGCAGUUCUGCAGCCCAGAAUUCAUCCCCUCCAUUUCUGUUAGGGCCAGUUUCUCUUCAGGGACCUCUGCCCCAUCACUCAGCUCUUGUGACUUAUGCUCCAUCUCCCACAAUGGUCCGUCUCUCUGGCGGAGGAAACAUGUGAUCUUACACCUGGUCAGUCAAAGCGGUGUGAACCCCGGGCAUCACGAUUAUUGGAAGCUGAGUUUGUGCGCCCAUUGGAACUAGUGACAUGAAGUCUCUGAGAUUUUAAAAUUUUGCUUGAACUUGGGAGGAUGUAGGUCUGAAGCUGCUUGCAGCCAUCUUGGCACCACGUGGAAUCUAAGCAUGAAACCCACAUUCCUGGGGAUGGAACCACAAGACAGAAAAAAAUGGAGACCCAGUGAUAUCAUUUUAAAAGUUCCAGAAGCCAGCCAAGCCUGAAUUCCUUGCCACUUCGAACUUAGGCCUGAACGAGUAAAUUUCCCCUCUGUUCUUUUUCCCACUCGAGCUGGCUUGCUUUUGUAGUUUUUGCCAGUUGCAAACAGGAGAGUUUUAACUGUUGUGGGCUCUCAUUAGUACUUUCAGAUCACCACGGGGGACUCAGGGUGUGCACACCAAUGGGACUUGGAUGAAGCGUUGCCAUCCUCCUUCUUUCUGCUCCUGGGAGCCCUGGCAGCGAGCACAGGAAAGGGAGAGAAUAAUGCGAUGUAAGAACAUGGAUAAAACGUAUGCGACGCUGCAGAGAGAGGGCUGUGUUGUCACGGCAGACGACACCACUAUCUUGUCACCACAUGGCCUUUCCUUGUUUCAAAGACAUUUCCCCCACUCCCCCACAUCCUUUUUUUUUUUUUUUCCCAUGAGAGUGUUCAAGAAAAUAAGAUCAUUACAUACGUCAUCAUGAAAGAAGGCACCUGGCUUUUGAAAGAUGAGAUUUCUUCGUUUCCGUCCCCUCCGUGGCUCGAUUCCACCACUUGAAAAUGAAGGCCCACUUAGUCCAAUUACUCUUCUAAGAAGCAGUGAUGUUUUGAUCUUGAAUUCCUCUCUCCGGGCUACGGUGGGAGGGUAGUGGAUGAGCAAGCCUCUAAAAUUGAAUAGCGGAAGUAAACACAGGCUAGGUUUUUCUCUGGUCCCCUCAGUGAUGGCCACCCUGCUCUAACAUUCAGCUCAGGUUGCAGCUGCCAGACACAUGAACGUGAGCCAGAAGGCACAGGGAGGCGGAGGCGUGAGGCUGCACCCAGGAGAAAUCAGGCUGUGGACCAGUAGGGCUUGUGAUCACAAUUGAUGCUGCCUUCUCCAGCUUUGGGAUUCCGGGCGGGUGCUUCCUCCGGGCCUGCCGUCUGAGUCACCAUCUCUAUAGUUCUGGCAGAAAUGCAACAAUUCAGGGAAAACGAGGCUGGUGGAUGGUUUGCCACCCUUUCGCAAGGCCGGGCAAAGUGCGUUGGGGUUGAAUUGCUUUAGGUCGGGAGCAUCAUCUUUUCAUGGCUGCGAAGUGAGGGGUGUGUGGGAACAGCCAGAGCCCUGAGCGCUGUCUGCUCUGUCAUCCUUUAUGUGGACACUAAUCUAUUAAUUAGAAGGUUUGUCGUGACCAUGGGCGCUUUUUGCCUAUGUAUACUGGAGUUUCUAUUUAUUUGUUUUGAAUUAAAAAUGUUUUAUUCUGGU